Molecule: ribosomal RNA, 468 nt
Filed under: uncultured bacterium
Lineage: Bacteria
Description: partial 16S ribosomal RNA
Rfam family: Bacterial small subunit ribosomal RNA
Source: RNAcentral
GACGAACGCUGGCGGCGUGCUUAACACAUGCAAGUCGAACGGAAAGGCCCUGCUUUUGUGGGGUGCUCGAGUGGCGAACGGGUGAGUAACACGUGAGUAACCUGCCCUUGACUUUGGGAUAACUUCAGGAAACUGGGGCUAAUACCGGAUAGGAGCUCCUGCUGCAUGGUGGGGGUUGGAAAGUUUCGGCGGUUGGGGAUGGACUCGCGGCUUAUCCGCUUGUUGGUGGGGUAGUGGCUUACCAAGGCUUUGACGGGUAGCCCGCCUGGGAGCGUGACCGGCCACAUUAGGACUGAGGUACGGCGCAGAAUCGUACGGUAGGCAGCAGUGGGGAAUAUUGCACAGUGGGCGGAAGCCUGAUGCAACAACGCCGCGUGCGGGAUGACGGCCUUCGGGUUGUGAACCGCUUUCGCCUGUGACGAAGCGUGAGUGACGGUAAUGGGUAAAAAAGCACCGGCUAACUACGUG